GUUGUCGUCAGCUCGUGUCGUGAGAUGUUGGGUUAAGUCCCGCAACGAGCGCAACCCUUAAGCUUAGUUGCCAUCAUUAAGUUGGGCACUCUAAGUUGACUGCCGGUGACAAACCGGAGGAAGGUGGGGAUGACGUCAAAUCAUCAUGCCCCUUAUGAUUUGGGCUACACACGUGCUACAAUGGACAAUACAAAGGGCAGCGAAACCGCGAGGUCAAGCAAAUCCCAUAAAGUUGUUCUCAGUUCGGAUUGUAGUCUGCAACUCGACUACAUGAAGCUGGAAUCGCUAGUAAUCGUAGAUCAGCAUGCUACGGUGAAUACGUUCCCGGGUCUUGUACACACCGCCCGUCACACCACGAGAGUUUGUAACACCCGAAGCCGGUGGAGU
RNAcentral lists this ribosomal RNA (387 nucleotides) under Staphylococcus aureus. RNAcentral describes it as "bacterial SSU rRNA". It matches the Rfam family "Bacterial small subunit ribosomal RNA", at positions 1048 to 1436 of the family's 1533-position model. Lineage: Bacteria; Bacillati; Bacillota; Bacilli; Caryophanales; Staphylococcaceae. The record is from RNAcentral.